Molecule: long non-coding RNA, 762 nt
Organism: Drosophila sechellia
Lineage: Eukaryota; Metazoa; Arthropoda; Insecta; Diptera; Drosophilidae
Exons: 2
Source: RefSeq, a predicted model, not a curated record
ACUGCGUGGUGGCGACGCUCUCGACGUUGAAAUUAACAUGAACCUACACACACACAUACACACUGCGUAAUCGCGACGUCCUCGUCUAGACUCGCUAUCUAGAACUAACGGGAUCAAAAGCACUGCUGCUUGCCCGUGCGUAUACAUUAAGAAUAAAGCUUUCAUCAUUCUUGAUCUUGACACCAAACCGAGCAGUUGAUUUAUUUAAAGUGCCUGGGCAGCAACUAACUAAGAGUAGAGAAAGGAGGACCCCCGAUCCAACGGAGGCACUCGUAACUGGCGCAGCCGGACUAGAACUAAAAGGAUUAACAACGCCUUUCACGUUCUUCGUUCCACUUCUGUAAACGGUCAAACAUUGGAGCCAACACUUACUUAGAAAGAAACAAACGGAUUCAUAUUAUAAAUACACACUACAUUUUAAGAUUAUCUAUAUAUAAGAUUACAAUUACUUAAUUACACCUUAUUAUUUAAGCUAAAACAUUAUUACACUAAACAUAUACACAACAUAUAGGUACACGUAUACAAAAGUAUAUAAGCACAAUAACACAUAUACCAUAUUUUUAAGUACAACACACAGACUACACAAAUCAAAAACACCUACAUGCCAAAGAGAAUUCCGUUUAAUACCCAAAGUAAAAGAAGACUUGGACUUAGAAGUGGAGGCAGCCUUCCUCAAAUUAGGGAGCAAGUAGAACAAUCCACCAACAGCAACAACAUCACUCGAAAAACUGCACCUGGAGGCAUUGGCAACAACCGGGAAAA